Molecule: non-coding RNA, 72 nt
Organism: Phrynosoma platyrhinos (Desert horned lizard)
Lineage: Eukaryota; Metazoa; Chordata; Lepidosauria; Squamata; Phrynosomatidae
Source: the annotation of a GenBank genome assembly
GCCAGUGUGGUGUAGUGGUUUGAGAGUUGGACUGAAACUCUGGAAACCAGGGUUUGAAUCCCUGCUCAGCCA